UAGCCUACGGGGGGCAGCAGUGGGGGAUAUUGGACAAUGGGGGAAACCCUGAUCCAGCGACGCCGCGUGAGUGAAGAAGUAUUUCGGUAUGUAAAGCUCUGUCAGCAGGGAAGAAAGAAAUGACGGUACCUGACCAAGAAGCCCCGGCUAACUACGUGCCAGCAGCCGCGGUAAUAUGUAGGGGGCAAGCGUUAUCCGGAUUUACUGGGUGUAAAGGGAGCGUAGACGGCAAUGCAAGCCAGAUGUGAAAGCCCGGGGCUCAACCCCGGGACUGCAUUUGGAACUGUGUAGCUGGAGUGUCGGAG
This 305-nucleotide ribosomal RNA is filed under the name uncultured bacterium. Its description in RNAcentral is "bacterial SSU rRNA". It matches the Rfam family "Bacterial small subunit ribosomal RNA", at positions 335 to 654 of the family's 1533-position model. The record is from RNAcentral.